RNAcentral lists this long non-coding RNA (13188 nucleotides) under Cucumis sativus (cucumber). RNAcentral describes it as "long non-coding RNA (CSAT_LNC003200)". Lineage: Eukaryota; Viridiplantae; Streptophyta; Magnoliopsida; Cucurbitales; Cucurbitaceae. The record is from RNAcentral.
AGAGAGAAGAGUUGAAGUCGGUUGGGUUUUGCCUCUGUUCGCACGAGAUUUCCGGAGAAAUUUAAUUCGUGGACUUGAACUUGGAGUUGAUGUUGUAUUUUUGUUGAUUUGAUGCGAUGCGGUUCAAUCUCUAGAAUUUGAUCCUCUGAUUCUCUCUCAACUGUAUGUCUACGCUUGAUUUGGAGGAAGCGGAGCACGUGAUGUUCUUGAAGUUUGUUGAACGUCUACGCUUGAUUUGGAGAAGCGGAGCACGUGAUGUUCUUGAAGUUUGUUGAACGUCUACGCUUGAUUUGGAGAAGCGGAGCACGUGAUGUUCUUGAAGUUUGUUGAAUCUACGCUUGAUUUGAGAAGCGGAGCACGUGAUGUUCUUGAAGUUGUUGAAUGCUACGCUUGAUUUGGAAGCGGAGCACGUGAUGUUCUUGAAGUUGGAGUCUUGGAAGAAAGUUUGUAUCUUCAAAACAGCUUCAAUCUUCGAGGAUGGUCAACUUCAGAAGUUAGGGAGUCUUCUAGCUUUUGGAAGAAUUCUCUCUGGAUCUUCUAGAGUCAAAAUUUUCCAACCCCUGCAAAUGAGGAGAAUUCCUCUAUUUAUAGAGUUCACUGGUGGGCUUUAUGGGUUUGAACUUGGUUGGUCCAUGGACCAGACCCAUGGGCUCAACCAUAUGGACUUAGGUUAUAUUUAGUCUUUGGGCUCAAUUAAGCUUAUUUUUUUGGCUUAAUUGAACUAAAAUGAUUAACUUAAUCCAACGAUUAAUAUGAAAACAUGUGGCAUUAUUAGAAUGACCAAUUUAUUUAUUUUAACUCUUUAAUUUGGGGCAUGUGUCAAUUUUAAUUAGUCCCAAAUUUAAUUAUUUGUACUUUUCAUCAUUAACUUAAUAAAUGAUGUGGCAACUUGUGAUUGGUCUCAAAAUUUCUUAUUCAACAAAUGCCCCCUUUUCGAGAUUUAUGCACGUAUAUGGGUGAAUGAAUCUCGGAAAAGAUAAAUUUGAAGUCAAAGUACGAGCUUUUUUUUUUUUUUCUCAAUUCAGCAUAUCAAAUUAAUCAAACUAUGAAUUUAGUACGUGAGUUUGAUUUAAAUUUAAAAUAAGGGUUGGAAUAUGGCCAAACCUUAAAAAAAAUUCAAAGUUUUAUUUCCCACUUAAUUUUAUUUGAGGGGAAAAAAAAAUUAAUAUGAUGAUUUUUUUUUUUAAAGUAAAAUUUGGAAUAUAACCAAAAUUUUAAUUUUGAAAUAAGGAUAAGGUUUCUACCGUACCUUAAUUUAUCUUGGGAUGCAUAAGAAUUUGGAAUGACCAAUUUUAAUUUGAGAUAAAAAAAUCAGGUCCUCAAUCUUAGGUAAAGUUGGAUUUAUGGCUCCGAUUUAAAUUCAUGAUAAAAAGGAGGUCAUAUAUGCAAGUUAAUUUAACUUGAAUUUUGAAAUUGAGAAUAUUUAUAUAUAUAUAUGUAUAUAUUUUUAAAAAUGUUGAAAUUUUUAAAUAUUUUAAAUAUCUCAAUAAAAGUUAAACUUGAGAUUUAUCCAAAAAAAAAGAAAUAAUUUAAAAUAAAAUAAGAUAAUUGGAUUAUCUUUUCUUUAUAUAUAUAUAUAUUUUUAAAAAUCAUUCCUAUUCCUUUUAGGAAUUGGAUUUGUUUUUUUUUAAAAAAAUAAUUAAAUAUCAUUCCUAAUCCUUUUAGGAAUUGGAUUUGUUGGGCUAUAAAUAGACUCAUACUACUCACUUAUACCUCAUCCAACGCUUAUUCCUCAUCAAAUCGGCAGAAAGGUAUAGAAAACUUUUCUUCUCCCUUUCUUUUUUUUUUUUUCUCUUUUUUUUUGUGUGUGUGUUUUUUUUUCUGUUUUGUUUUGUUUUUUUGUUUGUUUUUUUUUUGUAUUUUUGUUUUUGUUUUUUUUUUUUUUGCAGGAAUGACUUUGUCGAGCUUCUUCUAGGGACGAUCGGGCUUCUGCCGUCAGAUCUAUCGCCCUAGUAGGAGAGAUCGACUCUGUCAUCGUCGGGCUUCGAUCUUCGUUUGCAGAAAUGACUUUGUUGAGCUUCUUCUAGGGACGAUCGGGCUUUUGCCGUCAGAUCUAUCGCCCUAGUUGGAGAGAUCGACUCUGUCAUCGUCGGGCUUCAAUCUUCGUUUGCAGAAAUGACUUUGUUGAGCUUCUUCUAGGGACGAUCGGGCUUUUGCCGUCAGAUCUAUCGCCCUAGUAGGAGAGAUCGACUCUGUCAUCGUCGGGCUUCGAUCUUCGUUUGCAGAAAUGACUUUGUUGAGCUUCUUCUAGGGACGAUCGGGCUUUUGCCGUCAGAUCUAUCGCCCUAGUAGGAGAGAUCGACUCUGUCAUCGUGGGCUUCAAUCUUCGUUUGCAGAAAUGACUUUGUUGAGCUUCUUCUAGGGACGAUCGGGCUUUUGCCGUCAGAUCUAUCGCCCUAGUAGGAGAGAUCGACUCUGUCAUCGUCGGGCUUCAAUCUUCGUUUGCAGAAAUGACUUUGUUGAGCUUCUUCUAGGGACGAUCGGGCUUUUGCCGUCAGAUCUAUCGCCCUAGUAGGAGAGAUCGACUCUGUCAUCGUCGGGCUUCGAUCUUCGUUAUCACCAAUUGAGCUUCUUCGUUUUUUUUUUCUUCUUCUUCUUAUUCUUCUUUCUUUUUGUUUUUUCUUCUUUUGCUUCUUUCUUUUUUGUUUUCUUCUCUUCUUCUUUCUUUUGUUUUUUUGUUUUUUUUUUGUUUUUGUUUUUUUUUUUCUUUUUCUUCUUUCUUUUUGCUUUUUUUUUCUUUCUUCUUCCUUCUUUCUUCUUCAUCAUUUUCUUCUUUCUUCUUCUUGCUUCUCCUUUUUUUUUCUUUCUUUCUUGGUUGUGGUACUAGGGAGAAGAUGAAGAUGAAUCAUCUAGCUUGCGACACCUUAGAGCUGAUGAAAAUGAAUUCCAUCGGCCGGGUUGCGACACCUGUUAGAUGAUAAAGAUGAAUACUCUCAGCUACGACAUAUAGGAGAAGAUGAAGAUGAAUCCUCUCGGCUAUGACAUAUGGGAGGAGAUGAAGAUGAAUUCUCUUCAGUUGCAGCACUUGGAAGAAGAUGAAGAUGAAUCCUCUCAGCUAUGACAUAUGAGAGAAGAUGAAGAUGAAUCCUCUCGGCUAUGACAUAUGAAAGGAGAUGAAUCCUCUCGACUAUGACAUAUGGGAGGAGAUGAAGAUGAAUCCUAUUCAAUUGCAGCACCUGGGAGAAGAUGAAGAUAAAUCCUCUCGGCUAUGACAUAGGAGAAGAUGAAGAUGAAUCCUCUCGGCUAUGACAUAUGAGAGAAGAUGAAUCAUUUUCGAUUGCAGCACCUGGGAGAAGAUGAAGAUGAAUCUUCUCAGCUAUGACAUAUAAGAGAAGAUGAAGAUGAAUCCUCUUUGAUUGUAGCACCUAGAAGAAGAUGAAGGUGAAUCCUUCCGGCUACGACAUAUGAAAGAAGAUGAAGAUGAAUUCUCUUUGGUUGCAACUCCUAAAAGAAGAUGAAGAUGAAUCUUCUUUGGUUGCGACACCUGAAAGAAGAUGAAGGUGAAUCUUCUCGGUUGCGACUCUUAGGAGAAGAUGAAGAUGAAUCUUCUCAGUUGCAAUUCCAAUGAGAAGAUGAAGAUGAAUCCUCUCGGUUGUAGCACCUAGAAGAAGAUGAAGGUGAAUCCUUCCGGCUACGUCAUAUGAAAGAAGAUGAAGAUGAAUCCUCUUUGGUUGCAGCACCUGGAAGAAGAUAAAGAUGAAUCUUCUUUGGUUGCGACACCUGAAAGAAGAUGAAGGUGAAUCUUCUCAGUUGCAAUUCUUAGGAGAAGAUGAAGAUGAAUCCUCUCGGUUGCAACACAUAGGAGAAGACAAAGAUGAAUCCUCUCACUUGCGACACCUUAGAGCAGAUGAAGAUGAAUCAUCUUCGGUUGUUACACCUGAGAGAAGAUGAAAAUGAAUCUUCUUGAUUGCGACUCCUAGGUGAAGAUGAAGAUGAAUCAUCUCGGUUGUAACACAUGGAGGAAGACAAAGAUGAAUCCUCUCACUUGCGACACCUUAGAGCAGAUGAAGAUGAAUCAUCUUCGAUUGCAAAACUUAGAAGACGAUGAAGAUGAAUCCUCUUCGGUUGCAAUAAGCUGAAGAUGAAGCAGAGGUUAAAGCUUUAGCAUUGCAUGCAUCUUCUUCAAGAGGCAGAAACGAUGUUACACUGUCGUUUUCAUCUUGGAGAGGCGAAGGCAGAGCUGCCGAUCGUCGUCCUAUCAAAGUUGUACCAUCGUUAUCCUCUCAAAGAGCUGGAGCUGCAGCAUCGAUGAAGCCUUCAAACUUGAAUAUAAGGAAUCAUCAAUGAAACUUUUAUGCUUGAAUUUGAGGGAUCAUUAAUGAUGCCUUUGAGCUUGAUUUUGAGAUUCUUUUUUUUUUUCUUUUUACAUGCACUCAACUUGUACAUAGUCUUUGCACGGAGUUUGUACAUCUUCAAUUUAUUUCAUCUCAUUGUUACUAAAGAUGAACAUCUUGAAUUUAGGGAUUUGCCCCCAAUUUGUUAUGAUUCCUUAGUAGAGAUGAACACCCUUUGAAGAAAAGAAUUAACUCACGACGUAGUUCAAGGUUUUUUUUUUUUUUUAUAAUGGUGGACUGAACUUAAAGUUUUCUUUAAGUUGCCUACGUACCCUUUAUAAUGUAAGGAUCAAGUCAUAACGUAGUUCAACUUUUUGCUGGACUGGCUUAAGGUUUUCCUUAAGCUGCCUACGUACCCUUUAUAAUAUAGGAUCAGUCAUAACGUAGUUCAACUUUUUUUGCUGGACUGGGCUUAAGGUUUUCCUUAAGCUGCCUACGUACCCUUUAUAAUAUAGGGAUCAAGUCAUAACGUAGUUCAACCUUUUUUUUUUUGCUGGACUGGGCUUAAGGUUUUCCUUAAGCUGCCUACGUACCCUUUAUAAUAUAGGGAUCAAGUCAUAACGUAGUUCAACUUUUUUUUUUUGCUGGACUGGGCUUAAGGUUCCUUAAGCUGCCUACGUACCCUUUAUAACAUAGGGAUCAAGUCAUAACGUAGUUCAACUUUUUUUUUUUGCUGACUGGGCUUAAGGUUUCCUUAAGCUGCCUACGUACCCUUUAUAACAUAGGGAUCAAGUCAUAACGUAGUUCAACUUUUUUUUUUUUUUGCUAACAAAAUUAAGCAUAAAAUUUUUUAAGAAAUUUACCAUUGAUUGGGCCAAUUCGUAGUCCGUCUUGAUCAACGAUCUUGUAUGCGCCAUUUGUAUAAACUUCUUUAACAAUGUAGGUCCAUCCCAUUUAGGUGUGAACUUAUUUCCUGUAUGCCUUGUUGUGAUGAUCGGUCUCCUUACGGCAAGUACUAGAUCACCGACUUGAAAGGAGCGAGGUUUAACGUGUUUAUCAAAAGCUUUGGACAUUCUCGCUUGAUAACAUUCCAAUGCUUGCUGAGCCUCUAAUCGCUUUUCGUCAAGUGCUUCUAAUUCUUGAAGACGUAACUUCACAUUAUCUUCGGUAGUCAAUCCCUCUUGUACUGCCAUUCUUAGUGACGGAAUCUCCCUUUCGAGAGGAAGGACAGCCUCCACACCGUAAACAAGCGAAUAUGGUGUAACCCCUGUAGGGGUGCGAUGAGUCGUCCGAUAAGCCCAUAAUGCCUCGCCGAUCUUUUCUUGCCAAUCCCUCUUUGACUUGGAGACAAUUUUCUUUAAAGAUUACACAAUGUUUGUUGAAUGCUUCUGCUAGUCCAUUCGCAGCUGCGUUGUACAUGGAUGACUUAUAUUGCUUGAAUUUGAAUUUUUCACAAUAACUUGUCCAUCAUACUAUUGGAGAAUUGCUUUCCAUUAUCCGUCACGAUUCGAUGUGGAAUACCGUAUCGAUAGAUGAUGUGUGUUCGAAUAAAGUCUGCCACGUUCUCCUUCUUGGCUUCUCUCAAUGAAAUGGCCUCAGCCCACCUUGAAAAAUAGUCUGUUGCUGCUAGGAUAUAAGAAUGUCCUGCUGAUGAUUUUGGUGUAAUGGGGCCAACCAGAUCGAGUCCCCAAGCCUCAAAAGGCCAAGAAGCCACAGUUGGAUGAAGAGGUUCUGGAGGUUGGUGUAUGAAGUUUGCAUGGUAUUGACAAGGCUCACACUUCUUCACAUAGUCUAUUGAAUCUUGGAUCAUCUUAGGCCAGUAGUAGCCCAUUCUUCUUAGCUGGAAUUGAAGCUUUGUCCCGAUUGAUGUGCUCCACAAACACCUGCAUGUACUUCCUUUAGAGCUUUUACCGAAUCUUCCUUUCCGAGACAUCGAAGGAAGAGCCCUUCAAGAGAACGGCGAUAUAAAGUUCCCUUGUAAUAAAUGAAGUGUGCUGCCCUUCUUCGUAUCUCAAUUUUAUGACGAGAAUCCUUUGGAAGCUUUCCAUGUUCAAGAUACUCUAUGAUGGGUUGACGCCAAUCUUCUUCAUCAAUCAAAUAGGAUGUUGCCAUGUUCACUUCCUGACAUUCAGGCCUAACUGGGGGUAUAAUCCAUCGUUGACAAAGUGGUAUGUUCAGAGUUACAUCAUCUGGCAUGGUCAAGGCCGUGGCUAAAUUUGCCAAUGCAUCCGCUCUCUUAUUUUCUACUCUAGGGACAUGUUCUAACAUCACAUUAUCAAACUUUUCCAUCAAUUGUCGAGCAUAAGCAAAAUAUGGCUUCAAGUCUUCAUGUUUCACGUCAUAUUGAAGCGAGAGUUGAUUGAUUAUCAAUUUUGAAUCACCAUAGACCUCUAUGAAUGACACUCCGAUUUCUAAUGCUAUUUGAAGGCCAAUUAUCAAAGCCUGAUAUUCAGCCACAUUGUUUGAACACAAUUCGGAAAGUGCAAAGCUAUAAGGCAACAUAUGCUUCUCAGGAGAAAUGAGGACAAUGCCUGCCCCCGCACCACUUCUUCGAGCUGCACCAUCGAAGUACAUAGUCCAAGGUUCCAUAACUUCUGUGAAGAAAACCUCAUCGUCUGGUAGGUCAUCACAUAACUUCCAAUCCGAAGGAAUUGGGUGGUCUGCUAAAAAGUCUGCUAGCGCUUGUCCUUUUAUCGCCUUUUGGGGAAUAUAGACAAUGUCAUAUUGUUGGAGUAGAACCGCCCAUUUGGCUAAGCGUCCAGCGAUGAUUGGCCUGGAUAGAACAUACUUUAUAGGGUCUGCUUUUGCCACUAGAUGAACCGUGAAGGCCUGCAUAUAAUGCCUCAACUUAUCAAUGGCAAAGAAAAGUGCAAGACACAUCUUUUCGAUAGGAGAAUAGUUAACUUCAGCCCCAAUUAAUGUUCUGCUUAGAUAGUAGAGAGAACGCUCCUUUCCCUUUACCUCUUCUUGUGCCAGUAAUGCUCCUAAGGACCUUUCUUGUGCAGCAAUGUACAAUAUUAGUGGUUUGUCAGGUACUGGAGCUCCCAGCACUGGGGAGUAAGCAAGUAUUUCUUUAUGCUAUCAAAAGCGUUCUGACAAGCUUCAUCCCACACAAAAUUUUCUCCUUUUCUCAUCAACUUUUGAAAAGGUUGACACCGACCGGCCAAGUUAGAGAUGAACCUUCGGAUGUAAGCCAUCGUCCUUGGAGACUUCUUAGGUCAUGCAAACUUUUAGGUCUUGACAUCUUCUGAAUGGCAUCAAUCUUGGACUGGUCUAUUUCGAUCCCUCGAUGCCUUACAAUGAAGCCAAGAAAUUUUCCUGAAGUUACACCAAACGCACACUUGAGAGGGUUCAUCCUUAGCUGAUAUUUUCGCAAGCGAUCAAACACGACUUUUAGAUCCUUCAAAUGGUCUUGUCGUCUCUUUGUUUUGACUACAAGAUCAUCAACAUAACAUUCAACAUACCUGUGCAACAUAUCAUCAAACACUUUCUGCAUGGCACGUUGAUAAGUAGCGCCGGCAUUUUUCAAUCCAAAGGGCAUCACCUUGUAACAGUAUAUUCCCUUUGGAGUUCUGAAAGCUGUCAUUUCUUCAUCUGAGAGGGCCAUCCGUAUUUGAUUAUAUCCAGACGACCCAUCCAUAAACGACAACGCCUCGUGUCCAGUAGUUGCAUCAACCAUGAUUUCGGUGAUGGGCAAGGGAAAAUCAUCUUUAGGGCAUGCAUUAUUCAGAUCGCGAAAGUCUACACAAACGCGAAGUUGUCCAUUUUUUUUCUAACAGGGACAAUGUUUGCUAUCCACGUUGGAUAUUUGACCUCGCGAAUGAAUCCUGCUUCGAUCAACUUGUUGACUUCCACCUCGAUUUGAGGGAUAAGCUCCGGUCGAAAACGUCGUUGUGCUUGUUUAAUCGGUCGAUAUCCGGGUUUAAUUGCAAGAUGAUGGACUGCUACUUUUGGGUCAAGUCCUGGCAUCUCCUUGUACGACCACGCAAAGAUGUCCCUGUAUUCGGUGAGCAAACUCAUAUAUUUAUCCACCUCUUCAUUAGAGAGGGACGCACUAAUGAAAGUCGGACGUGGUUCCUCUAUUGUACCAAGGUUCACCUCUUUUAGCUCGUCUACAGUAGAUUGCCACCAUCCUCUAAACUUUGUGGGGCAUUUUCUGCGUCUUCUUCAUGAGUUCCAGUCUCUGAUUCCUCAAUAAUGGUGAUGUGAUGACAUGAAGUUUCACUUCCCCUUGUUCCGACCCUUCUUUUUCAGGAUUCGUUAGUAUAACAUCAUGUCUUUUUACCUUUAACGAACCUUGACUUGUAUUGAGAGUAACAAAAGUUUUUCUUUUCAUGCGAGAAGGAACGUUGCUAUGAAUUUCUCCAUUUUCCUUUGUCUCGCAAGGAAACUUCUUACUACGAUAAUUAUCGACAUCUGUAUGCUUAAUUCGACGCCAAACUUUCACACGAGACAUUGGUUCCUUCUUCUUUGUAUCUAUGUUGGAAUCAAUGUUGUCGUGUGAUCCUUUAUCCCGAGAUGAUUAAAAAUCGGAGCACGGGGUGCUUGUACAUUUUUCUUUUUAGACACACCUAGCCUUUCAAAGGCUGAUGGUCUUGUAGUUGUCAAGGCAUGGCAUGUGCUUUCUUCCUUUAUGGGAGUCGUAGUUAGCCUUCGAAAGACCGAAUGUCUCUCAAGGUUUGGUACUGACUGGAGCCUUUCUCUUUCUGCCUCUGUCAUGCUUAGCCUUUCAAAUACUACGGGACGUGCAACAGAUGGUCUAAUUCGAUCAAAUACUGAGAUUCUCUGAUUAUCACCUUCUUUUACGUCAGUAUUGUCAUCCUCCUCUAUAGUUAUAUGAUUGAUGUCAACCACUUUUUCCUUCCCCUUUUUAGUUAUACGGAUCGGUUCUGGCGACUUGUAUCCGAGUCCUUUUCUCGACACGGGUAUAGAAUGUCCUUCCCGUAGAAGCUUCUUUUGAGUUGAGGAGAGCUCAGGUCGGUCAUGAAUUUCCAAGCUUUUAAACUCGGUGUGAGCUGUGAAGUCAUAACCUGCUUUCGCCAUCAAUUUGUAAGCCUUGGGGUCGAAUCCGUCUUUCGUUCGCCUUUGGGGCAAGUUUGCUUCCACCAGAUCUACCUUUACCUCUUGCUUCGCUAUCUUAGUUAGUGGUGUAGUGAAGCUUUCUUUUAUGAUUUCGAUGUCACCAACUUUCAAACCUUUUGGAGACUCCAUGAAUGGUGAUUCGCCUUUCUUGCGCCUUGACAGAGGGACAUAACGCAAAACAAAACUGGUGUGUUUGCAGCAUUUUCAUCCUUCAAGAUCAUACCCUUUGUGCUGCUAGUGUAUGCUUCACCCUUUCCAGAGUUAAAGGUUCUCGCACUUUCAUGUGGUUCUGUGGUUGCGAGUGAUUUCAAUUGUGAAUUAUCUUCUCCUUUUGUAAGAGGGGUUUCUGCAGGCAAAACUUCUAAAAUAUUAUUAUUCUUUGAAUAAAACUUUGCAUCUGCGAAGUGAGACUCAGCUUCUGAGAAUGGAUUAGAGUCGGCUUCAACCUUCUUUACACCCGUCCUGAUAAAAUUUGACAGCACUGAUGCAGUGUUGAAGUUACUACUCCGUUUCCAUGAAUCAAGGACGCCCUAGUAACAACUUGUAAGUAGUCCUUGAGUCUAUGACAUGAAACAAUGCACUGGCCUUUAGGUCGCCAAUUAUGAGUUCUAACCGUAUCAUGCCUAUUGCUCUUUUGGCUACCUUGGUUAAAACCUAUGAAUUACUAGCUUGCUAUUUGAGAGCUCGUCCAUCAAGAUGCCUAAUUGCCACAUAGUCGACUUUGGCAUUAUGUUGACAGCUGAGCCAUUAUCAAUGAGGAUUCGAUCGACUCUCUGUUCUCGAACGUAUCCAGAAACAUACAAAGGUCUAUUAUGAAGUUUAGAUCCCAACAACAAAUCCUCAUCUGAGAAGUCUAUAGACAUACAAUAAGAACCACUCUCAUAUGUCAUAGUCGGAGUACUCGAACUUGAUGCUCUUGAAUUUAGCAAUGCAUCAAUAAGGAUGGUUUUGGUCUCUUGAGGAAGUGAUAAUAGAUCCUCUACAUUAAACCUUGAAAGGUCUUUUGAUACUCCCUCUCCUUCUAGUGAUCUUGGAGGGAUUAUUUCUUCCUCCGUUGUGUUGAUAGCAUGACACGCAACGACUUCUGGGUCUUCAUCCUGAUGAUCACAAAGGAAGCUUUUUGGAAGGAAGUCUGCCAAGGUCACUAAGCGUUGAGGUCGAGAGAAAUUCAUGUCUUCAUUAUGUACGAGCUUAAGCUUAUGAGUCUUCUUCUUUUUCUUAUUCUUUUGAGUCUUAUUUCCUCUUCUAUAGUUUUGGUAAGAGCGAGACUCUCUUUGGGUCGGGAUCGACUGUCUUUUCUUUCGGUGGGUCACCACUAUCCACCCUUCAUCGUCUUCUUCAAUUGGUCUUUUCUCUCCUUGAGGAUCCUCGUAUGAGAUUUCCUGAAAGAAUUGGACAACUAUAGGCUCAAAGGUCCCGAACUGGACCAAGCUUUUCCUUUGCUCAAAAAUCAAUCUCGACGAAGAAGCCUCAGACAUUAUCGUCACUUCAGCGUGGUUUGUUUGAGCUACUUCCUCCAAAUCUAGCUCAAUCCUUUUCUCACGAGCCAACCUUAGAAUUAGCUCCUUCAGCACGAAGCAUUUCUCUACUGGAUGACUGAUGACCCGAUGAUACUUGCAGUAAUUGGGAUCAUCUACCUUUCCUGCUUGCUCAGGUCGUUUACAUUCUGGCAGCUGGAUCAGCUGCUUCUCUAGUAGUUGCUCUAGCAUGUCAGCGAUAUCUGAAUCAGGAAAUGGGUAAACUUUUUCCUGCCUUUCUUUUAAAGUCAGACGUCGCCUUUCGCUUCCAUCAUCCUUCUUUUCAACCCUCGCUUCCUUUCCUUUGGAGAAUUUCAGCGGGGUUGUGUUUACGACCAUAGAUUCUUUCGAGGUGCUUUUCACUAUCUUUUCAGCACCUUUCAUCUCUUUCUUAUCUUUCUUUACUUCAGGAACAAGAAAAUCUUUAGUUCCUCUACUGGCGAUGCUCAACUCCAUAUCAUGAGCUCGAGUUGCCAGUUCUUCAAAUGUGCGGGGCUUUAUUCCUGCAAAAUGUAGAGGAGUCCCCAGUGCAUGCCUUGGGUGCACAUUUCUACAGCCGACAGUUCGGUGAGCCGAUCUUUACAGUCAAGACUUAGAGCUCUCCAUCUAUUGAUGUAGUCGAUGACUGGUUCUCCCUUUCUUUGUUUCGUAUUUGUAAGCUCCAUCAUGCUUACAGUACGCCUGGUGCUGUAGAAGCGAUUGAGAAACUCCUUUUCUAGUUGUUCCCAACUCUCAAUGCUUUCUGGCUCCAGAUCAGUAUACCAUUCAAAAGCAUUUCCUUUCAAGCUUCGAACAAAUUGUCUGACUAGUUGAUCUCCUCUUGAUCCUGCAUUCUCACAUGUUUCGACGAAGUGAGCAACGUGCUGUUUUGGAUUGCCCUUUCCGUCAAACUGCUGGAAUUUUGGAGGCUGAUAUCCAAGCGGCAUUCUCAAGUUGUCGAUUCUUUUGGUGUAUGGUUUAGAGUACAUGAAAGAAGUCUGAGAUGGGCCUCCAUAUUGUGCUCUGAUGGAGUUGUGAUCAUAUCUUGUAAUUGUUGAACCGAGAGAGAAGCCACAGAAGUUGAUUGUUGUUGUGGCUGAUUUUCUUGUACCACGUUCUUCCCUUUGUCAUCAACUUUAACGACAGGAGUUUGACUCGAUUCAGCAGUUUCACGAGUCUGCAUCUGCUCCUUUAAAGCUGCAAUUUCGUGGUCUCGUUCAUCAACAACCUUCAUCAGGAGAUUAAUUUUUCUCUCCAUCUCCGCCAUGGCAGUCUCGACUGCUACAUCAGCCAUCAUGACGGACAUCACAUCUGGGUGUGCUUCUUUCAGUGACCUGCUAGAGGCAGAAUCAUAAUCAUUAUAUAGAGGAUUUUCCUUGAUGACAAUUCCAGCUUUAGGAGAUUCCAUCAAUUGCUUCAGGAUGCUCUGCGCGAUGGCGGAACCUUGGUCUUGCCCUUGGAUGAUCCCCUUGGAACGACUACGGGUGAUAGGUCCCGUGUAGGUGUCGCUUGCAGCUGAAGAUUUGGAUGCAGCUUUCUUUGAUGCCAUUGAUUUGCUUGUAGAUCUAGAUGAUGAGAGAGAGAUGAGAGGUAGAGAUGGUCCCACUGGGCGUGCCAAUUUGUUCGCACGAGAUUUCCGGAGAAAUUUAAUUCGUGGACUUGAACUUGGAGUUGAUGUUGUAUUUUUGUUGAUUUGAUGCGAUGCGGUUCAAUCUCUAGAAUUUGAUCCUCUGAUUCUCUCUCAACUGUAUGUCUACGCUUGAUUUGGAGGAAGCGGAGCACGUGAUGUUCUUGAAGUUUGUUGAACGUCUACGCUUGAUUUGGAGACGGAGCACGUGAUGUUCUUGAAGUUUGUUGAACGUCUACGCUUGAUUUGGAGAGGCGGAGCACGUGAUUUUCUUCAAGUUGGUUGAAUGCUUUACGCUUGAUUUGAGGAAGCGGAGCACGUGAUGUUCUUGAAGUUUGUUGAACGUCUACGCUUGAUUUGGAGAAGCGGAGCACGUGAUUUUCUUCAAGUUGGAGUCUUGGAAGAAAGUUUGUAUCUUCAAAACAGCUUCAAUCUUCGAGGAUGGUCAACUUCAGAAGUUAGGGAGUCUUCUAGCUUUUGGAAGAAUUCUCUCUGGAUCUUCUAGAGUCAAAAUUUUCCAACCCCUGCAAAUGAGGAGAAUUCCUCUAUUUAUAGAGUUCACUGGUGGGCUUUAUGGGUUUGAACUUGGUUAGUCCAUGGACCAGACCCAUGGGCUCAACCAUAUGGACUUAGGUUAUAUUUAGUCUUUGGGCUCAAUUAAGCUUAUUUUUUUGGCUUAAUUGAACUAAAAUGAUUAACUUAAUCCAAC